AGCGAACGCUGGCGGCAGGCUUAACACAUGCAAGUCGAACGCUCGUAGCAAUACGGGAGUGGCAGACGGGUGAGUAACGCGUGGGAAUAUGCCUUUUGGUUCGGAAUAACUCAGGGAAACUUGAGCUAAUACCGGAUAAGCCCGUGAGGGGAAAGAUUUAUCGCCAAAAGAUUAGCCCGCGUCCGAUUAGCUAGUUGGUGAGGUAAUGGUUCACCAAGGCGACGAUCGGUAGCUGGUCUGAGAGGAUGAUCAGCCACAUUGGGACUGAGACACGGCCCAAACUCCUACGGGAGGCAGCAGUGGGGAAUAUUGGACAAUGGGCGCAAGCCUGAUCCAGCCGUGCCGCGUGAGUGAUUAAGGCCUUAGGGUUGUAAAGCUCUUUUGUCCGGGAAGAUAAUGACGGUACCGGAAGAAUAAGCCCCGGCUAACUUCGUGCCAGCCGCCGCCGUAA
This 451-nucleotide ribosomal RNA is filed under the name uncultured bacterium. RNAcentral's name for it is "partial 16S ribosomal RNA". It matches the Rfam family "Bacterial small subunit ribosomal RNA", at positions 29 to 523 of the family's 1533-position model. The record is from RNAcentral.